This is a long non-coding RNA of Leptinotarsa decemlineata (Colorado potato beetle), 2341 nucleotides long. RefSeq lists it as uncharacterized. The record is from RefSeq and is a predicted model, not a curated record. Lineage: Eukaryota; Metazoa; Arthropoda; Insecta; Coleoptera; Chrysomelidae.
UUAAAAAUCAGGUUAUGUGUUAGAACUUGCUUUAGUUAUAUUGUGGUUUUCUUUUUUACUUACCUGUAUCGGAAUUUGAAUUCAGAAAAUUCCAGUUAGAUGUAGUAUACGUGAGAAAGUAUAUGCCACACAAUCAUUUCAUAACAAACAAGUGCACCAAAAAAAUCCAGAGCCUUUAGCUUAUUCAUCUCAGAGGGGAUGCCCUGCAACUUUUAGUAGCCUUUUUCUUGAAGCAGAUUGUGAUGCUGCAUUCAAAACCCAUAAGAAUUCAGUGGACCAUUUGCAGAGAAUUCAAUUGCUGAAGUUUGAAACAGAGUGCCCUGUUAUGAAAAAUAUAAAUGAUUUUGGAAAUCAAAUAUUGAAACAAUUAACAAUUGCUCUUAUGUUUUGAAAAGUAGAAAUGCUAGUACUAUUGGUGAAAUAGUGUAUCACAAGUGCAACAGGUGUACCCACAUCAAGUGAGCACUAAUUUGAUUAUUGAGUGUAAAGGUAUUCAGAUUGGGUACAGAUAUGCUACAUGGAUAUGGUACAGCUGAGCCUAUAUUUCAAAAAUUAACAUAAAUAUUAACCCUAUAUAAGUGCAAUUUGAUAAAAGGUGAGAUAGAAUAAAAAAUUCUAACAUGUUAUAUCUCAAAAGGAGCUGAUUGACUUCUUUAUACACUCUGUUGUAAGUUAUAUCCUCAAUGACAACAGUAAUCAAAGACAUAGAUUGUUGAAGAGCCAGGGAUCUUGUAAAAUAAAAAGUUCUUGCACAAGCACAAUCAAAGUUAUUAAAGAAAAAAAAUAAAAUUAUGGUUGAGUAGCAAAAAGUACAUUAUGGUCAUAAGCUAGAUACUAGAACUAGACUGCAAAAACUGAAAAAUAAAAUGUUGCCACAAAGAUAACAAAUGGGUUUGCACCCCAAAGCUUUGGAUAAUGCUUUGAGUUAUAUGUGAAACAAUGAAGUCACAAGACAUUCUAGAGAGUAUUUUUCUAAUGCCUGCAGCCAUAAUUUAAAAAAAUGGGCUUACUGUUUUAGAAAAGAAGCUAGCAUUACCACAAAUAUGCAUAUGGACUUGAUGCAUAAAGUAAUUAAGUAUUUCUACUUGGAAACAAAGGCAGUAAAAUGCCUUCAUAAGGGUUUAAACAUGGUAUUGAAAUAUGUAAGAGACAAGAUUGGUGAACGAAUUAUUACAUUGAGCAAGGGUGAACAUUCCAAACAAACAAGACUGAUAUCUCAGAAUCACAAGGAGGCUAUUAAAAAUAGCAAUGAGCAUACAAUUUUUAAAAUUGGUAAUAACUGGAAAAUUUCCAAAAAUCAGAAUAGUUCAUAUACUAUCCACCAGAUAUUAGAAUCGAAAUGCUGUGAACAAUUAUGUUUGUUCUGUGAGGCACGUAAUCAUAAGAUUUUAUGUGAGUGCAAAUUCUAUAGAGAAAGAAAAAUUAUGUGCAAUUGAUAAUGAAAUUAGAAAGUUUAGAUUUUCAUCAGCUUGGUGAUGACACUAUCAAUAAAAUACAUCAGUAUUCAUCCAUAAUAAAUAACUUAUCUAAAUGUACAAAAUUGAUAGAAACGGAUAAUGAAUUGAAACCCAAAAAUAAAUCCUCUAAAAGAUACAUUGAUCCACAAAUUAGGUUCACAUCAACGAAAAAGAAACGCGAUCAGAAAAAAACAUUUCAUUGGGCCUCCCCACAAGAACUGACAACAAUUCAAGAAAACCUAUCACACGCCCUUGUAGAUGUAUUUUUUUACAAAGCAGUUCAACCUAUAAGUGACCACCAAUAUCGUUGAUUAUCACCAUUUCGAUAUUUAUGUUUUUUUGUUUGGCGAUAAACUCUUGUUUUUAGAAAAUUGUUUUUAUUAGCAUAGUUCCUGAGUUACAUUUUGAAUUUCCCGUGAAAUACGAACUGGCUACACUUGGCAACGUUGGUGCGGACUGGGUGGUUUAGCCCGAGAAUACCUACCACAGAGAAGCGACAAAGACGGCCAUUUUGUGUCCCUUUUUCGUAGACGCAUGCGUCGACUUGGUUGUCCCACGUCAUUCUCGGGCUUAGUUAUCUCCAUUAGUCUGUGAGCACUGAGCAAACAUAAUGAGGUAGGUAAUUAGUUACAAAAGGUACCUACCUAACUCGGUAUACAUUAAAUUUAUGCUAUUUAAGCAAGAGUUUUCAGGAGAUAAUUGGUUUUGAAGAAUACAUCGUGAGAGAAACAGUAGAAAAUUCAGUGAUAUUUAAGGCACUUGAAAUUAAAAUUAAAACAAUGCUCGAAUAGGACAAGCGAUGUGUGAUAUCUAUAGAUGAGAUGGCUUUAAAAUCCAAUAUUUUUUUUGAUACAGGAUGUGAUGAAAUUAUUGGUUUCGAAGAU